Molecule: ribosomal RNA, 460 nt
Filed under: uncultured bacterium
Lineage: Bacteria
Description: partial 16S ribosomal RNA
Rfam family: Bacterial small subunit ribosomal RNA
Source: RNAcentral
CCUACGGGAGGCAGCAGUGAGGAAUAUUGGUCAAUGGGCGAGAGCCUGAACCAGCCAAGUAGCGUGAAGGAUGACUGCCCUACGGGUUGUAAACUUCUUUUAUAUAGGAAUAAAGUGUGCCACGUGUGCCUUUUUGUAUGUACCUUAUGAAUAAGGAUCGGCUAACUCCGUGCCAGCAGCCGCGGUAAUACGGAAGGUCCGAGCGUUAUCAGGAUUUAUUUGGUUUAAAGGGAGCGUAGAUGGUUUGUUAAGUCAGUUGUGAAAGUUUGCGGGUCAACCGUAAAAUUGCAAUUGAAACUGGCAGUCUUGAGUACAGUAGAGGUAGGCGGAAUGCGUGGUGUAGCGGUGAAAUGCUUAGAUAUCACGAAGAACUCCGAUUGCGAAGGCAGCCUACUAGACUGCCACUGACAUUGAUGCUCGAAAGUGUGGGUAUCAAACAGGAUUAGAUACCCCAGUAGUC